GACGAACGCUGGCGGCGUGCCUAAUACAUGCAAGUCGAACGGAGAUAUACGCUGAAGAUUUAGCUUGCUAUUGAUUCUUGUAUAUCUUAGUGGCGGACGGGUGAGUAACGCGUGAGCAACCUGCCUUUCAGAGGGGGAUAACGUUUGGAAACGAACGCUAAUACCGCAUGACAUUAUUGAGCUGCAUGGCUUGAUAAUCAAAGGAGCAAUCCGCUGAAAGAUGGGCUCGCGUCCGAUUAGGUAGUUGGUGAGGUAACGGCCCACCAAGCCGACGAUCGGUAGCCGGACUGAGAGGUUGGACGGCCACAUUGGGACUGAGACACGGCCCAG
RNAcentral lists this ribosomal RNA (330 nucleotides) under uncultured bacterium. Its description in RNAcentral is "bacterial SSU rRNA". It matches the Rfam family "Bacterial small subunit ribosomal RNA", at positions 28 to 334 of the family's 1533-position model. The record is from RNAcentral.